AGUACGGUCGCGCCCGACGGUUCCCGCAAGGGAUCAAUAGGGAAUGCGGUGAGGGUCGCGCGCGAUCCGAUUCCGCGGCUGCCCCCGCAACUGUGAGCGGCGAGCCUUUCGCCACACGCCACUGGGCCUCGUGCCUGGGAAGGCGGCGAAAGGCACGGACCCGCGAGCCAGGAGACCUGCCGUCGUUCGUGGUCACAC
Molecule: non-coding RNA, 198 nt
Filed under: Rhodopseudomonas palustris
Lineage: Bacteria; Pseudomonadati; Pseudomonadota; Alphaproteobacteria; Hyphomicrobiales; Nitrobacteraceae
Also listed under: 1 other name
Source: RNAcentral